CCUACGGGAGGCAGCAGUGAGGAAUAUUGGACAAUGGGCGCAAGCCUGAUCCAGCCAUGCCGCGUGCAGGAAGAAGCAUCUAUGGUGUGUAAACUGCUUUUGUACGGGAAGAAACACUGCUACGUGUAGCAGCUUGACGGUACCGUAAGAAUAAGGAUCGGCUAACUCCGUGCCAGCAGCCGCGGUAAUACGGAGGAUCCAAGCGUUAUCCGGAAUCAUUGGGUUUAAAGGGUCCGUAGGCGGUUUGGUAAGUCAGUGGUGAAAGCCCAUCGCUUAACGAUGGAACGGCCAUUGAUACUGCCAGACUUGAAUUACUAGGAAGUAACUAGAAUAUGUAGUGUAGCGGUGAAAUGCUUAGAUAUUACAUGGAAUACCAAUUGCGAAGGCAGGUUACUACUAGUUUAUUGACGCUGAUGGACGAAAGCGUGGGGAGCGAACAGGAUUAGAUACCCUGGUAGUCCACGCCGUAAACGAUGGAUACUAGCUGUUCGGGGUAACCUGAGUGGCUAAGCGAAAGUGAUAAGUAUCCCACCUGGGGAGUACGUUCGCAAGAAUGAAACUCAAAGGAAUUGACGGCUGAGACCGNGCGAGACGACGACGAGGGAGGAGG
RNAcentral lists this ribosomal RNA (610 nucleotides) under uncultured bacterium. RNAcentral's name for it is "bacterial SSU rRNA". It matches the Rfam family "Bacterial small subunit ribosomal RNA", at positions 338 to 948 of the family's 1533-position model. The record is from RNAcentral.